RNAcentral lists this unclassified non-coding RNA (297 nucleotides) under Hevea brasiliensis (rubber tree). The record is from RNAcentral. Lineage: Eukaryota; Viridiplantae; Streptophyta; Magnoliopsida; Malpighiales; Euphorbiaceae.
AAAAAACAGAGCUCUGAUGUUGGUCAGCGAUCAACCAUAGGCGUCGGUAAGGACCCCGAGAUGUCUCCUUCUCCUGUCUCUUACCAAAUCAAAACCACACCUUUAAGCAGAACAUUACCCAUCAUUGUGAACCACUGAACAAUGGCUACACAAGAUUCCCUGCAUGCAACAAUCACAGGAAAAAACAGCAGAAAAUGAAUCUAUCGGAGUUAUCCCAGCCACUAUAGCAAGUCCCUCUUCCUUUUUUGUAGACUGCACUCCAACUACUAAAAAAAAAAAAAGAACUAUCUACAAUUC